Molecule: ribosomal RNA, 468 nt
Filed under: uncultured bacterium
Lineage: Bacteria
Description: partial 16S ribosomal RNA
Rfam family: Bacterial small subunit ribosomal RNA
Source: RNAcentral
GACGAACGCUGGCGGCGUGCUUAACACAUGCCAGUCGAACGGAAAGGCCCUGCUUUUGUGGGGUGCUCGAGUGGCGAACGGGUGAGUAACACGUGAGUAACCUGCCCUUGACUUUGGGAUAACUUCAGGAAACUGGGGCUAAUACCGGAUAGGAGCUCCUGCUGCAUGGUGGGGGUUGGAAAGUUUCGGCGGUUGGGGAUGGACUCGCGGCUUAUCAGCUUGUUGGUGGGGUAGUGGCUUACCAAGGCUUUGACGGGUAGCCGGCCUGAGAGGGUGACCGGGCCAAAUGGGGAGUGGGUAAGGGCCAAACUCCCAAGGGGGGGAGGAGGGGGGAAAAAUUGAACAAGGGGGGAAAGCCGGAGGAAGAAACGCCGGGGGGGGAAUGACGGCCUUGGGGUUGUAAACCGCUUUGCCCUGGAACGAGGGGGGGGGAAGGGAAAUGGGAAAAAAACCACCGCCAAAUAAGGG